RNAcentral lists this long non-coding RNA (449 nucleotides) under Heterocephalus glaber (naked mole-rat). Its description in RNAcentral is "lncRNA (ENSHGLG00000038147.1)". Lineage: Eukaryota; Metazoa; Chordata; Mammalia; Rodentia; Bathyergidae. The record is from RNAcentral.
GCCUUUUCUGAUGCAGCUGUUGCUGGAGUUGCUGUCACAACAGCUAAGACCGUAUUUGGUCUCCACUGUGGAGAGCAAUCUGCCUCCUGCCAGCAGCUCAGCUUUACAGGCAAAGCAGCCCGAGCCCUGUGGGAGCUAGAAGACAUUAGCAGCAAAAGGACAGCAACCGUGUGGACUCCAUCCAUGGUGCAGACAAUUCUUCCAUAGCUUCUAACUCCAGGCCAUACCCAGGAAGGGGCCUGGCAGAGCCUGUAGCCGACCUCUGCUCUGGCCAACACUAAUCCGACACCUCUGAGAGGAGCACCUGGACAGUGUCAGAAAUACUAUCCCCAGGUCUCCAGAUGUGGGAGAUGAACAUCAAUAAGGGGUGACUAUCAAACAUGGAUACUAGAAAGAGAGAAGCCACUCACCCCAAAACCCUAAGCACUGCAUAUGAGAUUACAAAACAA